AUGCCCACAGGCAUCGACACAUACUGGCACCGAAGCACUGAGCUUUUGUUCAGAGCAUCACCCAUGCCACACCGAGGUAUCCUAAUCAUCAAGCCCAUCAUCACGAAAUCAAGCCUCUACAUCAUGAUAAAGAAGAUGCCACUGACAAAUCACCGACAUCACCAGGAUCCCCCGCCUCCCGGCUCCACGCCAUCGACACGACCAUGGAGAGAAGCCAUCACCACCGCAACGCCGCCUGCCGCAGAGCCGAACAUGCAGUCCACCUUCCAGGGCAGCCGCCCCGGCAUCCAUGGGCUUGCAUCCCCGCACCACCACUCGCAGCCGCCGGUAAGGGAACCAACCAUCUGGGAUAUGGAAAGGACACCUUCUUUCACCUCCAGAGGAACCCUGGCCACCCCACAGUCCCAGACCAAGUUCCAAAUUGAACCUGCCCAAGCGGACGGCCAGCAACCCAAUACUUUGUCUAGCGCGGACUUUGCGUCCGGCGAGGUGUGA
This 495-nucleotide ribosomal RNA is filed under the name Triticum aestivum (bread wheat). Its description in RNAcentral is "partial small subunit ribosomal RNA". Lineage: Eukaryota; Viridiplantae; Streptophyta; Magnoliopsida; Poales; Poaceae. The record is from RNAcentral.